GUUGUUAUUAUUAUUAUUAUUAUUAUUUUAUGGCUUUUUUGGUUUCUGAUGUUUUUCUCAAGUUUAGGGAUUUAAAGAAUGCAAAGGAGGACUUGGACAAGAAUUGCGUUGCACUUUAUGAGGCUUCAAGUGGUGAUGGGUCGUUAAAUGAUGAUGGGCAUUGUGGAAAAUCAUCAACAUUGCCCAACUCCGCUUUGCCUCACAAAGAAUGUCCAGAUGAUGAUUGGGAAGCUAUUGCAGAUCGUGCUCGAGAGGAA
This is a non-coding RNA of Camellia sinensis, 257 nucleotides long. The record is from RefSeq and is a predicted model, not a curated record. Lineage: Eukaryota; Viridiplantae; Streptophyta; Magnoliopsida; Ericales; Theaceae.